CCUACGGGAGGCUGCAGUGGGGAAUAUUGCACAAUGGGCGCAAGCCCGAUGCAGCCAUGCCGCGUGUGUGAAGAAGGCCUUCGGGUUGUAAAGCACUUUCAGCGGGGAGGAAGGCGGUGAGGUUAAUAACCUCAUCGAUUGACGUUACCCGCAGAAGAAGCACCGGCUAACUCCGUGCCAGCAGCCGCGGUAAUACGGAGGGUGCAAGCGUUAAUCGGAAUUACUGGGCGUAAAGCGCACGCAGGCGGUCUGUCAAGUCGGAUGUGAAAUCCCCGGGCUCAACCUGGGAACUGCAUUCGAAACUGGCAGGCUAGAGUCUUGUAGAGGGGGGUAGAAUUCCAGGUGUAGCGGUGAAAUGCGUAGAGAUCUGGAGGAAUACCGGUGGCGAAGGCGGCCCCCUGGACAAAGACUGACGCUCAGGUGCGAAAGCGUGGGGAGCAAACAGGAUUAGAUACCCCUGUAGUC
This 465-nucleotide ribosomal RNA is filed under the name uncultured Klebsiella sp. RNAcentral describes it as "bacterial SSU rRNA". It matches the Rfam family "Bacterial small subunit ribosomal RNA", at positions 338 to 795 of the family's 1533-position model. The record is from RNAcentral. Lineage: Bacteria; Pseudomonadati; Pseudomonadota; Gammaproteobacteria; Enterobacterales; Enterobacteriaceae.